Molecule: transfer RNA, 76 nt
Filed under: Paracoccaceae bacterium
Lineage: Bacteria; Pseudomonadati; Pseudomonadota; Alphaproteobacteria; Rhodobacterales; Paracoccaceae
Description: tRNA-Thr
Rfam family: tRNA
About the family: Transfer RNA (tRNA) molecules are approximately 80 nucleotides in length.
Source: RNAcentral
GCCCCUAUAGCUCAGUUGGUAGAGCAACUGAUUUGUAAUCAGUAGGUCGGGAGUUCGAGUCUCUCUGGGGGCGCCA